This 500-nucleotide ribosomal RNA is filed under the name uncultured bacterium. RNAcentral describes it as "partial 16S ribosomal RNA". It matches the Rfam family "Bacterial small subunit ribosomal RNA", at positions 30 to 523 of the family's 1533-position model. The record is from RNAcentral.
AUUGAACGCUGGCGGAAUGCUUUACACAUGCAAGUCGAACGGCAGCACGGACUUCGGUCUGGUGGCGAGUGGCGAACGGGUGAGUAAUGUAUCGGAACGUGCCCAGUCGUGGGGGAUAACGUAGUGAAAAUUACGCUAAUACCGCAUACGAUCUAUGGAUGAAAGCGGGGGAUCGCAAGACCUCGCGCGAUUGGAGCGGCCGAUAUCAGAGUAGGUAGUUGGUGGGGUAAAGGCCCACCAAGCCAACGAUCUGUAGCUGGUCUGAGAGGACGACCGGCCACAAGGGAACUGAGACACGGGCCAGGAUCCUACGGGAGGCAGCGGUCGGGAAUGUUGGACAAUGGGCGAAAGCCUGAUCCAGCCAUACCGCGUGCAGGAUGAAGGCACUCGUGUUGUAAACUGCUUUUGUACAGAACGAAAAGGUUUCUACUAAUACUAGGAGCUCAUGACGGUACUGUAAGAAUAAGCACCGGCUAACUACGUGCCAGCAGCCGCGGUAA